Molecule: long non-coding RNA, 628 nt
Organism: Ostrinia nubilalis (European corn borer)
Lineage: Eukaryota; Metazoa; Arthropoda; Insecta; Lepidoptera; Crambidae
Exons: 3
Source: RefSeq, a predicted model, not a curated record
AGACGCCAAAACGAUUUGUCAGUUUGACAGUCAACUGCAGGCAGUGUACUUUGUGGAUUCAUUUGGUGCGCACGCGUUUCACAAAAUCCAAAACAAUGUGGGAGAUAAUUUACGAACGAAUGUCCGCUACAGAAUUAUGGAAUUUGAUCUUCAUCGCCAAUUUCAUAAUUUUCAUCCGGAUGCUGAUUGAUUUAAGAUACCCUAUGCUUUCGACCAUAAACCAGGAGAAAUGUCUCACAGCCUUAGACGAGUGGCUUUACGGAAAACUCAUGGCUAUAUGCCCUGAUAGCUGGAACCAACCCUGGACACCUCCUUCUGCCGGAUACAUGAAGUUGCAGAAAUGUUUCUACUUCUUAGUGAACUUAAAUCUGCAUUCACUUAUAAUUUUAGUCUUAAUAGUUAUUUCAAAAUUAUUUGAUCAAAUUUUCUUCAUGUUUUCUAUAAUUAUGACUUGUUUUAUUUUGUAUUUUGUGUAUGAGUGUUAUAAAUUAAGAACACUUAGGAUAAUACGCCCUAGAUUCAGGUUGGGGCCAAUUGAACAGGCUAUUCAUGAUAUAAAUGAGUUUAACGCGAGAAACAGUAGGAAUAGAUAUUGUCGGGGAUAGUCAAUUGAUAAAAACUGAUUAUU